AUGGCCAUACCAUGCUCAAUAUACAGGCUCUCUUUAGAUCACCGAAGUCAAGCAUCAUUGGGCGCGGUCAGUACUUGGGUGGGUGACCACCUGGGAACACCGCGUGCCGUU
Molecule: non-coding RNA, 111 nt
Organism: Caerostris darwini
Lineage: Eukaryota; Metazoa; Arthropoda; Arachnida; Araneae; Araneidae
Source: the annotation of a GenBank genome assembly